Molecule: ribosomal RNA, 118 nt
Filed under: Salmonella enterica
Lineage: Bacteria; Pseudomonadati; Pseudomonadota; Gammaproteobacteria; Enterobacterales; Enterobacteriaceae
Description: partial 23S ribosomal RNA
Rfam family: Bacterial large subunit ribosomal RNA (bases 1-106)
Source: RNAcentral
AGGUCUCCUGAAGGAACGUUGAAGACGACGACGCUGAUAGGCCGGGUGUGUAAGCGCAGCGAUGCGUUGAGCUAACCGGUACUAAUGAACCGUGAGGCUUAACCUUACAACGCCGAAG